RNAcentral lists this small RNA (129 nucleotides) under Salmonella enterica. RNAcentral describes it as "RtT sRNA". It matches the Rfam family "RtT RNA". Rfam says of the family: This family represents a bacterial cis-regulatory element known as RtT RNA. The exact function of RtT is unknown although it is thought that it may be involved in changing the cellular response in relation to amino acid starvation. RNAcentral also lists the same sequence under 2 other names. Lineage: Bacteria; Pseudomonadati; Pseudomonadota; Gammaproteobacteria; Enterobacterales; Enterobacteriaceae. The record is from RNAcentral.
CUGAAGUCUGACGAGGAUGAGAACCUCCGGGGGCAAGAGGUUCGACUCGAGCGAAGCGAGAGAACGUUGCGUCAGCAACGGCCCGCAGGGCGAGCCACGCAGUGGCGAGUCAUCCUCUAUCACCGACCA